UAGUCGGGGCUCGGGACCGGCUGCCAUCUUAGUCGAGGGACUGAGAAGUCGCCGCCGCCCCGAGUCCCGGUAACAUGUAUUUCACAGUGGCCUUCUGGAGACAGCGCCUUAACCCAAAGAAGUGACUUGAACGGUGAGAACUUCAGGUUUGCUGUCCUACUGGUGGUACGUCUGACAGUGGGUCACAACUUGGUACAGUGGGUAGCCUGAUCAUGAAAUCACAACUUCAGAUCACUGUUCUCUCGGCAAAACUUAAAGAAAA
Fukomys damarensis (Damara mole-rat) is the source of this 262-nucleotide long non-coding RNA. RefSeq lists it as uncharacterized. NCBI's taxonomy places the organism in Eukaryota, Metazoa, Chordata, Mammalia, Rodentia, Bathyergidae. The transcript is spliced from 4 exons. The record is from RefSeq and is a predicted model, not a curated record.